UUCACUUUCUUUUUCCUUAUCUUUCUUCUCCUCCGCUUCUCCUCUUUCUCUUCUCUGUUCUUCAUCUGCUGAUGGUUGUGAGAAUUAAACGAGGGUUUUGAGUUCGAAUCAAGAGUAGAAAGGUCAUGGAAGGUUUACUGGUGGUGAAGACUGUUAUAUAGUUGAGUUGAAUCUGAAGAAGAAUUAAAUCCGAUAUGUUAUUGAUUAGGUGGAGGAAUUAGGGUUUCUAAAAUUGUUAUUCAGAUUCGAUCAAGGAUGAAUAAGAAGGAUUAAGGACUGGGUCUGGAUGACUAAUUAUCGGGUUGGAGUUAACUGGGUUAUAUGGAGAUGUUUGAUGAUUGAGCCGAGAGUUAGGAUUUCUGGAAGAAUUCAAAGAAGAACCAGAAGAUGAAAUUGAUAAUUUAGAAGAUUGAUUUGAGAUGGGUUUUGAUAAGGUAAGAAGUAGUAAUGUUUGCAUGAGCUUAUUUUCGAUUUCAGUUGCUCAUGUUUUUUUCCCAAAAUAGAAAUUAGGGGUUUUGGUGAAUGCUGAACAGAACUGGUGGUUGUUGUUGUCUUAAAAAGAAUCGGUGGAUGAAGUCAAGUGAAUAAGAAACUUAAUUCAAUUUCCUGAGCAACACCAUUUGAGGUAAUUGUUUCUUAAAAGUAAAUUAAUAUAGCCUUAUGUUUAUUGAUGAAUACAUAUGUUGGAUUAUGGAGAUAAAAUAGAUAAUGGUUGUUAAGAUAGGUUUGAGCUUGAGUUAAAAGGAGGAGAUGUAAUUGAACUGAAAUUGCAGGGGAUAUGAGUGAUAUGGAUGUGUGUAUUGUUGAUAAUGAUUACAGUGUGGCAGGUGGAGUGUACAAGAAUCUGAGGUUGUUGAAAUUACAACAAUAUAGGUGGUAAUGAACUGUAGGAGGUAUUAGAGGUUUGUUGUUUUGGAUUUGGAACUAGAAUGAGAAUUAGGUGUUGCAUUUGAUAUGGAUUAUUGUCAUUGUAUUGAUAUGAACUGCUGGUAGAGUUGAAAUAGAAGAUGUGAUGAAUGUGUGGCCGUGAGAAUGAUUACAGGUGCAAGAGAAUGUGUUUGGAGUUGGUGUUUAGGAUUACUGUAGUUGAUGUAUAGAUGAGAAUGGAAUGUACUGGUGUGGCAGGUUGUUGUGGUAAUGUUGUUGUUGAAUCUGGUGAAGACAUGGAAGGUGGUAACAUUGAAGGGCAACUGAAGUUUAGAUGUGACAUACAAAGGGAGUCUGGUAGAAUUGUUGCUGCUGUGGAAGUUGAAUGAGAUGUUAUGUGAUUGUGUUGAAUGAGAGUUAGAUGUGUGGUGAAGUUGAGCUUGUAGUUGUAGAAAGAGUGAAAGCUUGGAUCUGCAGUUGCAGAAGAAGAAGAAGAUGCAUCGUUAUGAUUUACGACGAGAAGAUUGUUUGUGUUUCCACAAGCGUUGGGUAUCUUUAGAGAGAUGAGAAUUGAAGGAGUUAAAUUGGAAUUGCAUGACUGUAUCUUACUCAUUGCUGGUGCUCCACUUGGUGAAGAAUUGAAGGGGAUUUUGAUUCAUGUACAGGUGAAGGUGGGAACCCGUUCUGCGUUACUCAACUUUGGAUCACCAGUGGAUGCAUCUCAGCUAUAUAAAUUACUCCAUGCCCUUCAUCCACAUCCUCAUUAGAAGAAAAAUUAGUAGGCAGAGGUGCACCUGGAACAUAUUUGUACUCUACCUGGAAGCAGUGCAGCAAAUAUGUACUCGAAUUUGUAAGCAUUCAG
Long non-coding RNA from Papaver somniferum (opium poppy), 1729 nucleotides. RefSeq lists it as uncharacterized. The record is from RefSeq and is a predicted model, not a curated record. The transcript is spliced from 5 exons. NCBI's taxonomy places the organism in Eukaryota, Viridiplantae, Streptophyta, Magnoliopsida, Ranunculales, Papaveraceae.